This 54-nucleotide transfer RNA is filed under the name Ligilactobacillus araffinosus DSM 20653. RNAcentral describes it as "Lactobacillus aviarius subsp. araffinosus DSM 20653 tRNA". It matches the Rfam family "tRNA", at positions 1 to 52 of the family's 71-position model. From Rfam's summary of the family: Transfer RNA (tRNA) molecules are approximately 80 nucleotides in length. Their secondary structure includes four short double-helical elements and three loops (D, anti-codon, and T loops). Further hydrogen bonds mediate the characteristic L-shaped molecular structure. tRNAs have two regions of fundamental functional importance: the anti-codon, which is responsible for specific mRNA codon recognition, and the 3' end, to which the tRNAs corresponding amino acid is attached (by aminoacyl-tRNA synthetases). tRNAs cope with the degeneracy of the genetic code in two manners: having more than one tRNA (with a specific anti-codon) for a particular amino acid; and 'wobble' base-pairing, i.e. permitting non-standard base-pairing at the 3rd anti-codon position. The record is from Rfam by way of RNAcentral. Lineage: Bacteria; Bacillati; Bacillota; Bacilli; Lactobacillales; Lactobacillaceae.
GCUGACUUAGCUCAGUUGGUAGAGCAUCUGUCUUGUAAACAGAGGGUCGGAGGU